RNAcentral lists this ribosomal RNA (315 nucleotides) under uncultured eukaryote. Its description in RNAcentral is "partial 18S ribosomal RNA". It matches the Rfam family "Eukaryotic small subunit ribosomal RNA", at positions 1470 to 1796 of the family's 1831-position model. The record is from RNAcentral.
CCCUUAGACGUUCUGGGCCGCACGCGCGCUACACUGACCAGUGCAACAAGCAUCCGUCCUUGGCCGACAGGCCCGGGCAAUCUUUGAACGCUGGUCGUGAUGGGGAUAGACUUUUGCAAUUUUUGGUCUUCAACGAGGAAUUCCUAGUAAACGCAAGUCAUCAACUUGCAUUGAUUACGUCCCUGCCCUUUGUACACACCGCCCGUCGCACCUACCGAUUGAAUGGUCCGGUGAAGCCUCCGGAUUGGCGCGCACCUCGGUGCCGCCGAGAAGUUGGUUAAACCUUACCAUUUAGAGGAAGGUGAAGUCGUAACA